CCUACGGGGGGCUGCAGUCGAGAAUCAUUCACAAUGGGGGAAACCCUGAUGGUGCGACGCCGCGUGGGGGAAUGAAGGUCUUCGGAUUGUAAACCCCUGUCAUGUGGGAGCAAAUUAAAAAGAUAGUACCACAAGAGGAAGAGACGGCUAACUCUGUGCCAGCAGCCGCGGUAAUACAGAGGUCUCAAGCGUUGUUCGGAAUCACUGGGCGUAAAGCGUGCGUAGGCUGUUUCGUAAGUCGUGUGUGAAAGGCGCGGGCUCAACCCGCGGAGGGCACAUGAUACUGCGAGACUAGAGUAAUGGAGGGGGAGCGGGAAUUCGGGGUGGAGCAGUGAAAUGCGGAGAGAUGGAGAGGAAGA
This 359-nucleotide ribosomal RNA is filed under the name uncultured bacterium. RNAcentral's name for it is "partial 16S ribosomal RNA". It matches the Rfam family "Bacterial small subunit ribosomal RNA", at positions 338 to 708 of the family's 1533-position model. The record is from RNAcentral.